This 661-nucleotide ribosomal RNA is filed under the name Pterygodium cleistogamum. RNAcentral's name for it is "eukaryotic LSU rRNA". The stretch from base 212 to 367 matches the Rfam family "5.8S ribosomal RNA". The record is from RNAcentral. Lineage: Eukaryota; Viridiplantae; Streptophyta; Magnoliopsida; Asparagales; Orchidaceae.
AACACGUGAAUUAAAAAACAGCAGUUGAUAUUACUGUUGGAGCACCCGUCUAUCUAUACAAUGAGAUGAUCUCCGGACGCUCGUUGUAAAGGUUGGCGGGAGAUAAAUCAGGCACAGCUUUGUGCCAAGGAAAAUAUGUAGCAUGAGCAUUCAUGGCAUAUCCCAGGGCGCAAGUUUUGGGUGAUUGCUAUUUGCUUGUUAAGAGUCAUAGGACUCUCGGCAAUGGAUAUCUUGGCUCUCGCAUCGAUGAAGAGCGCAGCGAAAUGCGAUACGUGGUGCGAAUUGCAGAAUCCCGUGAACCAUCGAGUUUUUGAACGCAAGUUGCGCCUGAGGCCAACUGGCCAAGGGCACGCCCGCCUGGGCGUCAAGCAUUGCAUCGCUCCAUCAGACACACACCAUCGACGAAAGGAGAUUGUGAAGUCUUUUGAUGCGGAGAAUGGCCCGUCAUGCGCUAUUGCGUGGCGAGUUGAAGAGCGGGAUUAUUUUCUCUCGGUAAUAAUCGAUACAUGGGUGGGUUGGAGGCAUCAAUUGAAUCUCAUCAUCGUAUGCUUACCUUGAGAAAGCUUGGAAAUCUCUGUGCAACCUAGAUCAAGUUGGAAGCAAAUUGAAAUGCGACCCCAGGAUGGGCGGGGUGACCCGCUGAGUUUAAGCAUAUCAAUAA